RNAcentral lists this ribosomal RNA (414 nucleotides) under uncultured microorganism. Its description in RNAcentral is "bacterial SSU rRNA". It matches the Rfam family "Archaeal small subunit ribosomal RNA", at positions 459 to 872 of the family's 1478-position model. The record is from RNAcentral.
CAGCAGCCGCGGUAAUACCGGCGGCCCGAGUGGCGGCCACUCUUAUUGGGCUUAAAGCGUCCGUAGCCGGGUUGGUUAGUCUCCCGGGAAAUCUGGCCGCUUAACGGUCAGAAUUCCGGGAGAUACUGCCAGCCUAGGGACCGGGAGAGGCCGAGGGUAUUCCCGGAGUAGGGGUGAAAUCCUAUAAUCCCGGGAGGACCACCUGUGGCGAAGGCGCUCGGCUGGAACGCGUCCGACGGUGAGGGACGAAGGCCAGGGGAGCAAACCGGAUUAGAUACCCGGGUAGUCCUGGCUGUAAACGAUGCGGACUUUGUGUCGGACAAGCUAUGAGCUUGUCCGGUGCCGGAGGGAAACCGUUAAGUCCGCCGCCUGGGGAGUACGGCCGCAAGGCUGAAACUUAAAGGAAUUGGCGGG